Molecule: transfer RNA, 77 nt
Filed under: Bacillota bacterium
Lineage: Bacteria; Bacillati; Bacillota
Description: tRNA-Arg
Rfam family: tRNA
About the family: Transfer RNA (tRNA) molecules are approximately 80 nucleotides in length.
Source: RNAcentral
GCGCCCGUAGCUCAGGCGGACAGAGCAGCUGCCUUCUAAGCAGCGGGCCGCAGGUUCGAAUCCUGCCGGGCGCGCCA